CCCUUAGACGUUCUGGGCCGCACGCGCGCUACACUGACCAGUGCAACAAGCAUCCGUCCUUGGCCGACAGGCCCGGGCAAUCUUUGAACGCUGGUCGUGAUGGGGAUAGACUUUUGCAAUUUUUGGUCUUCAACGAGGAAUUCCUAGUAAACGCAGAUCAUCAAUCUGCAUUGAUUACGUCCCUGCCCUUUGUACACACCGCCCGUCGCACCUACCGAUUGGAUGGUCCGGUGAAGCCUCGGGAUUGUGGUUCUUGCCGCUUUAUUGUGGCGUGACCGCGAGAACUUGUCUAAACCUUAUCAUCUAGAGGAAGGUGAAGUCGUAACA
RNAcentral lists this ribosomal RNA (327 nucleotides) under uncultured eukaryote. RNAcentral's name for it is "partial 18S ribosomal RNA". It matches the Rfam family "Eukaryotic small subunit ribosomal RNA", at positions 1470 to 1796 of the family's 1831-position model. The record is from RNAcentral.